RNAcentral lists this ribosomal RNA (251 nucleotides) under uncultured prokaryote. Its description in RNAcentral is "partial 16S rRNA". It matches the Rfam family "Bacterial small subunit ribosomal RNA", at positions 525 to 775 of the family's 1533-position model. The record is from RNAcentral.
ACGGAGGUCCCAAGCGUUGUUCGGAAUUACUGGGCGUAAAGGGAGCGCAGGCGGACAGGUCAGUCUGAAGUGGAAGCCCGGGGCUUAACCCCGGAAGGGCAUUGGAAACUGCUUUUCUUGAGUUCUGGAGAGGAAGGGAGAAUUCCCGGUGUAGAGGUGAAAUUCGUAGAGAUCGGGAGGAACAUCAGUGGCGAAGGCGCCCUUCUGGACAGCAACUGACGCUGAGACGCGAAAGCGUGGGGAGCAAACAG